RNA transcript from Vespa crabro (European hornet), 3245 nucleotides. It is a transcript of the gene named cytochrome P450 4V2-like, with no coding region annotated. NCBI's taxonomy places the organism in Eukaryota, Metazoa, Arthropoda, Insecta, Hymenoptera, Vespidae. The transcript is spliced from 5 exons. The record is from RefSeq and is a predicted model, not a curated record.
UAACCUACUCGAAGCUAAUUGUAAAAUGCGCGAGAAAGAGGUAUAAAAAAAGCAUAUACAUCGAUACCACAAACAGCAUGGUGGGGACAGUCAUCAUCUUGUACCGUUGGUGGGGAUCGUUUUGCACUUGUAGUUCAUAUUUUGUCCAUACCAGUCGCUCAAAUUACAAACGUUUCUAGCGAAAGGUGGUGUGUAAUUUUUAGGUGGACAUUUAGUAUGAUGGUUUCUUGUUAUGAAGGAGUGUUACAAGAGAAUGAAUUAUAUUCAUCAUUGACAGAGUAUCAGAAUAAUGUCCAGAAGACGGCAUUGUUCAAAUCUUGGAACAUGAGAAUAAUUCUAGAAAGAAAGAUAAUGGAUCUGAGUUACAAUCGUACAGGGAAUUGAGAAAAUGUUUUGAAAGGAGUAUCAUAUUAAUUGAAUUGUCCAACCAUCGAUGAUCAGAAAUCUGUUAGAUCAAUUAAAUACACAAAAAGAAGUCGAUCUAAAAAUGUAUUACUAUGCUGCUGUUCAUCUCAUUUACUUUUACAGAUGCAUUUGUUUUCUAUUUAAGUUUCCAAGACUGCUCACAUUUUGGAAAAGAGUGAAAGUAGCCUGCUGCACUUUUAUUGAUAGAACUAUGUUCAAAUUAGUUUUCAAAGAUGAAACAUUGACUGAAAAAGUCCUCACAAAGAUGGUCGUCCCCAUAAGAUCAUGCCUCAAUACUAUCCAAAACUCCAUGACUACUGGAUUUUCAUUGAAUAAGAAAUUGUUAUUUGUAUGAGAAUAGGGAAGAAAAAUAUCAAAGGAUUCAGGAAUAUCGUUUGAUGGUACGUAUCCGCCAGUUAGUCGAUGAUUUCUCGUCCAUACGUCAUAUUGGAAAAUUCAUUGUACAUGCACUGAUUGAGAAAAGCAAGAGAGCUAUUCAAAAGAUUAUCAGAAUCAUCUGAAGAACAUAUAUCAUACUGAUAAAUAUGGCUGCAGUAAAUAUGUAGAGAUGAAAACAGAGCAAUUGUAUCUAUCGAAUCUGCUAGCCUAAUAACAAUUAUAGAGAAAGAGAGAAGCAGUUUAUUACAAAUGAUGUUUAAGUAGAAUUGCAGCUGAAGGUUUUGUGAAAACUAAUGGUAACAAAGCUUAUGUUUGUUAACGGUUAUGGAUUUUUGUCCCAUCGAUCAUACUUUUUGGUCAUAUUAUGGAUAAAUUUCGUUAGAAGGAAAUUAUUUAGAUCUGCUAAUUGAAUGGGAAAAUUGCUUUGUUUCAUGUUGAUAGAACGAUCCUUGGUGAAAGAAGAUUAAAUUUGAGAUGUAGACCACGUUCUUGUAUUAAUCUUACUAGGUCAGUCUAUCUUCAAAUGGACUUUUAUCUAUUGAAUGAUUCACUUUUAGCGGUAGAUGCUCUGGCAAAUAUAUGUACCGUUGAGCAAUGCAUAUGUGGGUAUCUGUAAAACAAGAUAAUGAUCUUAGAGAUCCAUCAGUUACAGUUUUCAAGUUGUGCCGAUGAAGUUAUUUCAAUGCAUGAUGGCUCUUUCUGGACCAAAACUGAUUUUAAUACUGUUAAGGUUUCUGGUGUUUACUUCAUCAAGUUUGUAAUUCAAAAAAAACAAAUAAUCUACAUACAAAAGGAUGAUAGAAGAUUCAACAGAUUGAUAUAGAAAAUAACUAUAGUAGGAAGCCUAGGCACCUUCUUCGAGAUUUUUGUAUGGUAAUAAGUUAAACAAUUGCAAGGAAAAAUGAAUUGAUUUAAUGUAUUAAGGUGUAAAUUUUCUCAUUAGCUGGUUGUUUAUCAUGUCAACAAGAUAACAAAAUUUUAUUAACAAGGUCGAUUACAAGUCUCUGCUCACGUAAGCCAACGUUGUAUGGUCUGAUUAAUGCGUUAAACGUAGAGAAAAUUUGCAUCAACGAAUUCGACAAUUAUUAAGAAAUCUUCAUUAUUUUGGCUAUCUCAUCUUUAUAUUGGAUUUAUGAGCUUUUAGUAUUUAUAUCAAAUUAAUCUUUUUUGUUUACAAUACAAUUAUAAUCGUAUUCUUCCUCUUCUUGAAAGACACCGUAGUCAGUAAUCAGGAUUACAGUCAAUAGACCAGUGAUCAGGCAAAUUACUAUACUCGUGCACAUAAUUACGAGAGAUGUGAGAUAGACGGUCAGGGAGGAAAAUCUGAUUUUGAACUUCAUCAAAAAAAUUCUCAAAUAUAAUCAUUUACAGAAAAAACCAAUGUUAUAUAGUGAUCCGAAAUUCAAUUGAUCAAAUUGAAAAAGAUUGAUCAAAGUAUGACCUUGUCGAAUUUAAAUGCAUCAGAUUGAAUUAUGUAAUAAUGGAUCCAUACAUUUUGAAGAAUAUAAUAUUCACGAUCAUUUCAGCAGAGAAGAUUGCUACUUAUAUUGGUCCAGAAAAUCUACUUUGAUUAUUUUUCAAUUAUCUAUUGUGGAAGGAAAACUAUAAAAGAAGUCUGAUAUAUAUUUGUGGAGUAUAUAUAUACACAUACAAGAAACAAUUUUUCAUGUAAUCAAAAGAAAAUAAAGGAAGAACGAAAAGAUAAAAAAGUUAUGUGUUGCAUCGAACGAAAGAAAAUAAUCAUUAAAAUGAUCUGAAUAUAUUGGAAAAAAUGUUUUUUCAUCAUUUGAUAAAUCUACUCCAAUGUGACAAUUUUUAAAACAUUAUUUUUCCAAUCGUUUACACUCUUGAAUUUUUUUCUAUGCGAAUAUUUAAAAUUCAGAAUAUAUGUCACCUAAUCAAUUUUCGAAGUCGAAGAAUACUGUCAAAUUACACCUGUUGCACUGCAAAAUGUUGGACAAAACACUAAAAAAAAACUUUAUUAAUGCAUGCAAAAAAGCGAUUUGAACAUUUUAAACAUUUAAUAAAAUAAAAGUUGUUUUCAACCAAAUAUUUUAAAACGCGUUUCUUCGGAAACUAUUGACUCAAAAUGAAAAAACCAUUGUAAGACAGUUAAAAUACUUUCCAUAUAUGUGAUUCGACCCUUUUUGCCAUUUAAGAUGUUUGAGGUUAUUAACUGCUUAGAGAAUUAACCCAAAGUAGGUGAAUUUAUUUAAGACAUUAGAUUUAUUUAAGUCAUUAGAUUUCGUAAUAAAACUGAUGAAUGUUUUUUGUUUGGACAAUGUAUAUGUAUGUAUGUAUGUUACAUAGGGUAAUCGAUAUCUUUCCAUUUUUAUCAUUUUGUUUUUAUUCUUGUAUUCGUGACCUUGUAUUUGAUCUAUUUUUGUUAUUAAAAAUAUUUUAUCGAAAUAAAUAUUGAUGAGCAUCCACGUCAAAUUCAA